Molecule: ribosomal RNA, 1283 nt
Filed under: metagenome
Description: bacterial LSU rRNA
Rfam family: Archaeal large subunit ribosomal RNA
Source: RNAcentral
AACUAUAUAAUUCCAUGGAGAUGCUUAAUGCAGAGAAGUGGAAGAAAGUAGGAAUGGCCUGACGUUUUAGUCGGGUUUGGCCGAUCUCUGGAGUCCAUGAAAAGAGGAUAGAAAUGAAUUCCUUAUGUUCGUACCGAGAUCCGACACAGGUGCCCCUUGGUGAGAAGCCUAAGGCGUGUUGGGAUACUCCAGUUAAGGGAACUCGGCAAAAUAGCUCCGUAACUUUGGGAUUAGGAGUGCGGACUGUCUUCAUUGGACGGUACGUCUCAGUAACGUGAGGGCUUCGACUGUUUAAUAAAAACACAGCUAGCUGCUAUCCUGUAAAGGUUUGUACAGCUGGUGACAUCUGCUCAGUGCCGGCACGUUAAGCCCGGUUUCAACCGGGGGAAGCGCCGGUAAACGGCGGGAGUAACAAUAACUCUCUUAAGGUAGCGUAAUACCUUGCUGCUUAAUUGGCGGCUUGCAUGAAUGGUGUAACGAGAGCCCUACUGUCCCUAACUGGAACCUAGUGAAACCACUUCCUGGUGGAUAUGCCAGGGUCCCCCGAUGGGAAGCGAAGACCCCAUGGAGUUUUACUACAGCCUGUCGUUGUCGCUUGGAUUUUGAUGUAGAGCGUAGUUGGUAGCCAUCGAAGCAAUCUCGUCAGGGAUUGUGGAGGCGAAUAUGGAACACCAACCUUCUAGGUCUAAGCGACUAACCAACAUUGUUAUUGUUGGGACACCGGUAGGUAGGUAGUUUGGCUGGGGCGGUACGCCUCGAGAAGACAUCGAGGGCGCCCUAUGGUUGACUCAGGUGGGUCAGGAAUCUACCGUAGAGGGCAAGGCCAAAAGUCAGCCUGACUGGAUAUUGCACCACAAGAUAUCCAGAGGCGAAAGCCGGGCCUAGCGAACUCCAAUGCCUCCUUGAUGGGGGCUUGGACUAACAGAAAAACUACCCUGGGAUAACUGAGUCGUCCGGGGCAAGAGCCCACAUCGACCCCCGGGCUUGCUACCUCGCUGUCGGUUCUUUCCAUCCUGGGUCUGCAGCAGGACCCAAGGGUGGGGUUGUUCGCCCAUUAAAGGAGAACGUGAGCUGGGUUUAGACCGUCGUGAGACAGGUUAGUUGCUAUCUAUCGGGGGUGUUGGUCGUCUGAAGGGAAGGUAGUCCCAGUACGAGAGGAACAGACUGCCGUGGCCUCUGGUGUACCAGUUGUCUGAUAAGGCAUCGCUGGGUAGCUACGCCAUAGUUAAUAAGGGCUGAAAGCAUCUAAGCCCGAAAUAACCCCUGAAAAUAGACUACCACUG